This 483-nucleotide ribosomal RNA is filed under the name uncultured bacterium. RNAcentral describes it as "partial 16S ribosomal RNA". It matches the Rfam family "Bacterial small subunit ribosomal RNA", at positions 28 to 507 of the family's 1533-position model. The record is from RNAcentral.
GACGAACGCUGGCGGCGUGCUUAACACAUGCAAGUCGAACGCUGAAGCUCAGCUUUUGUUGGGUGGAUGAGUGGCGAACGGGUGAGUAACACGUUAGUAACCUGCCUCCUUCUUUGGGAUAACGCCCGGAAACGGGUGCUAAUACUGGAUAUUCACUGGUCUUCGCAUGGGGGUUGGUGGAAAGGGUUUUUCUGGUGGGGGAUGGGCUCGCGGCCUAUCAGCUUGUUGGUGGGGUGAUGGCCUACCAAGGCUUUGACGGGUAGCCGGCCUGAGAGGGUGACCGGUAACAUUGGGACUGAGAUACGGCCCAGACUCCUACGGGAGGGAGCAGUGGGGAAUAUUGCACAAUGGGAGCAAGACUGAUGCAGCGACGCCGCGUGAGGGAUGGAGGCCUUCGGGUUGUGAACCUCUUUCGCUCAUGGUCAAGCCGCAACAAUGGUUGUGGUGAGGGUAGUGGGUAAAGAAGCGCCGGCUAACUACGUG